Molecule: long non-coding RNA, 463 nt
Organism: Trachemys scripta elegans
Lineage: Eukaryota; Metazoa; Chordata; Testudines; Emydidae
Exons: 3
Source: RefSeq, a predicted model, not a curated record
AAAGACAGCACUGUGGUGUGCCAGAGGCAGAGAACAGGAGGGACUGAGGUACCACCAACGCCCGAGGCCCCUGCACUGGCAGGGAAUUCAUUAGCUGGAAAGGAAAUUCUGGAACCAUCUGGGUUUGACAAUGAACGUCAGCUUUAUCUGCAGGAGGGAGGCUGGUCUUGCGGUCAAUGCGCUAGAAUUCCGGGAGUUUGAGCUCAACUGGCUCUGCACGAAGUCACAGUGUGAUUUUGGGGACACCUGGCUUCUACAUGUUAGUGGCUGUCACUUCUGAAGCAAUUGCCCCGUCGUGCGAUGAGAAGAGGGAUUCCAAACUCCAGAGGUUAGAUAUGAUGGGCAAGAGCCUCAGCUGGUAUAAAUGAGCCUAACUCCCUUGACUUCAGUGGCCCUCCAUUCAUACUCACUAGCCCUACAUCUAGCCUGCUGCAGUGGGAGUCCCAGGGCCAGGCCAAGGAGU